RNAcentral lists this unclassified non-coding RNA (539 nucleotides) under Hevea brasiliensis (rubber tree). Lineage: Eukaryota; Viridiplantae; Streptophyta; Magnoliopsida; Malpighiales; Euphorbiaceae. The record is from RNAcentral.
AAUGCCAUUGAGACUUCAUCAGCAUCUCGUUUAGUCUGAGUAAAGAUAAUAGUCUUUCCACCCUUUGCAUAAACUGUCACGAGAUCACUAAGAAUGCUCCGCUUUGAUGUCGCAGUGGUUGAUAUGGCAUAGAGUUUGAUUCCUUCUGCCAACUUUUCCUCUUGGUCACCAACCAAAUCAAUUUGAAGAGGGUUGUCCAAAUAUUUCCUCGCCAAUUUUCUUUUUCACCCAAGUAGGCAUGGUUGCAGAGAAAAGCAUGCUUUGUCGUUUUGAUGGGAGAUUUUCUAAAAUUACUUCCACAUCUUCCUCAAAACCAAAUGAAAGCAUCUGAUCAGCUUCAUCAAGGACCAAAUACUCAACUUCUCCCAAUUUAAGGCUAUUGCUGUUGAUCAAAUCAAUGAUUCGACCUGGAGUUCCAACCACAACAUCAACCCCACGAGAAAGAGCAUUUCGCUGUGUGAUAUAUGAAACCCCUCCAUAAACACAAACAGUAUUCAAGUAAUGUGCAGUCUCAUUAAUUUCUUUCUCCACUUGCUUUG